ACUGUGGGGUGAGGCAUAAACAUUGCCAGUGCAAGGCACCAUCAAGCGUCUCCCAGCUCAAGGAAAGAAGAGCAAAGCAAAGAGAAAACAGAGUAAGCCCGGGCUUCUGCAGCGCGUGGCACAGCCAGACGUGAAGAAUUCUUAAAGCUCUGUUCCUACGUUCCACCCCAUGGGACGCGGCCUCUUAGGAAGAGCGUCUAUGCUGCAAUCUCUAGGUGAAGAAUACGCUGGGGUGGAGAGAAAGGGUCUUCAGUCACAGGAUUGACUUGCCUUCCAUGAGGACC
This 284-nucleotide long non-coding RNA is filed under the name Dasypus novemcinctus (nine-banded armadillo). RNAcentral's name for it is "lncRNA (ENSDNOG00000052345.1)". Lineage: Eukaryota; Metazoa; Chordata; Mammalia; Cingulata; Dasypodidae. The record is from RNAcentral.